RNAcentral lists this long non-coding RNA (1046 nucleotides) under Anser brachyrhynchus (Pink-footed goose). RNAcentral describes it as "lncRNA (ENSABRG00000018377.1)". The record is from RNAcentral. Lineage: Eukaryota; Metazoa; Chordata; Aves; Anseriformes; Anatidae.
GGGGAAAAAAAGAAGGAAAAAAAAAAGGAAAAAAAAAAAGGAGAAGAAGAAAAUCGCCUUUUAACAACGUGCUAAGGAAGAUCUAAGGGACCCUCCCCGCAGACAAUGGGGGAAACGUGCCCUUUCCCAAUCCACAUCUGGGUGUCUGAUCCGUCGGGCAGCCGCCGGCAGCAGCCUCGCUGUGUGUAUUGGAGCCCCCCCGGGUGUUUACACGAGCCCCCCCUGGCCGGGGGGGGGUUCCCCAGGCGGGCCGGGGCUGCCCGGAGCCGACAGCCCCCGGCGCCUGUCCUGCAGCCCUGCUCCGAGCGGAGAGAAGGAUUGAGCGUUUGCACGCGGGCAGGAUCUGGCCUGGGGAUCUGCGUAGCGCGGCGCUGGGUCCCAUAAAUCUCGGAGGGGGGAAAGGGCGGCGAGGCGCUCGUCGAAUUGUGAAACCAACCGCGGGAGCAAACGCAAGGAAGGGCACGUCGGGAGCGCCUCCGAGUGAAGCGAAAGCCCUUGUGUAUUUUACAUCUUUUUCUCAUUAGAGGCGGCGCAGGUUGCAGCCUGUUCCAAGUCGCUUUCUUGGCUAAUGUUUUCAUUAGGGUUUCGAUCAAAAGGAGCAGGACGCGGCGCUCGGCGAGGGCGAAACGUUCAGCGAGCCGGAGUCCAGGGAGAGAGAGAAAGAUCCCAGUCUGUCUCGCCUUGACAGAAACGUCCCGCUCCGCGCUGCUUUUGUGCAAAGGCUCUGAGGCUGGCGUACGACCCGAAAUCGAAAGCAGCUGCAAACCUCCCGGCCCCCUCCCCUUCGCCCCCCCGACCCCCGCCGGCCGGAGCCGGGGACUCACCCUAACCCUGGCCUCGGUGAGGUUGGUCCAGACGGCGAUCUCCUCCCGGGUGGACAUGUCCGGGUAGCGAUUCCGCUGGAAGGUGGCCUCCAGCUCCUGCAGCUGCUGGCUGGUGAAGUGAGUCCGCUGCCGCCGCUGCCUCUUCUUCUUGGAGGGGUCCUCGGGCCCCGCAUCCUCGCUUUUGCUCUGCUGGCUCUUCUCUUUCUCUGCAAGGGCGAGGAG